This 203-nucleotide long non-coding RNA is filed under the name Lathyrus oleraceus (garden pea). Its description in RNAcentral is "Pisum sativum (pea) long non-coding RNA (PSAT_LNC004447)". The record is from RNAcentral. Lineage: Eukaryota; Viridiplantae; Streptophyta; Magnoliopsida; Fabales; Fabaceae.
UGACUUGAGUUACUUCCAACAUGUUCAAAUAGGGUCUAUUCAUCAUUCAAAGGAGCAAAAGUUUGUUCAUGAGCUGUCAUGCUCACUAGGCGAGCAGAAUGGGUCGCCUAGCGAGUCCCGAGAAAAGCCGCCAGAAUCACCUGCGCUCAGAGGAAUUUCCUGAACUGUCAUGCUCGCUAGGCGAAGCCCACACGUUUUGAAAA